Molecule: long non-coding RNA, 1191 nt
Organism: Mustela lutreola (European mink)
Lineage: Eukaryota; Metazoa; Chordata; Mammalia; Carnivora; Mustelidae
Exons: 3
Source: RefSeq, a predicted model, not a curated record
ACCGGAAUGGGUGGAGAGAGCGGAAGUGGGGGCCGGGUCGGCCGCGGGAUUUGAAGCCGAAAGGCAGGAUUUAGGCUCAGAAUGGCCGAAGUGGCGGGGCUCGGACUUGGGCGAUGGGAGUAGAGCAGAGAUCACAAGUAGAUGGAGAGGCAGGUAGAGAGAAAGAGAGAGAGAGAGAAGCAGGCUCCCUGCUGAGCAGAGAGUCCGAUGCGGGACUCGAUCCCAGCCCUGAGAUCAUGACCUGAGCCACCCAGGGUCCACGCAAGCGGCGUCAAUGAAAACCUAUCAAAAGCGUGAGUCCUUCGAGCCGGAUUCGAACCAGCGACCUAAGGAUGACCACAGUGAAACAUCUACAGUCCUCCGCUCUACCAACUGAGCUAUCGAAGGAUUGGUGCUAGGGAUGGUUAGAAUACCUCUAAUAAUGUUUAUCCCCGUGGUUUUAAUCAUCUUAAGAAUUACAAGCAAAUGCUUUUUCUAGGAUGCUAGAAUGGAUGGUAGGAUGCUAGGAUGGUAGGAGUGAUAAUCAUAGAGGUAUAUUGAAAAAUUAAUACACUUGAACACUUAAGUUUUGUGUGUUUUACUUUCUGAUUUAGAUCUUUAAAAAAGAAAAUACCAUCCACGUUCCAUAUCCUGCUUGCUUAUAUAGAAUAUAGAUAGGGCCAUCACCCUUAUUUUUCCUGCUGUCUCUCUGUUUCUUCUACUCACCACCUCUCUAUUAAAAUGGUGGAUAAAUGAUAAUUUAUCCUACAUAUAGACAGCUGGGUUAAAGAGGAAUCUAUUGUCUUGAAGUGGGUAUACUGCUGAGUUCAUUUUGUAAACGUUGCAACCCUUUUUGAAAGACAAUGAAAAUAAUGUAUAGACACAGAAGUACUCCACCCAAAACAUGAGAGGCAGUGUGUGUGUGUGUGUGUGUGUGUGUUUAGGAAUUGAGUGGCUUAUAUUUAGUGGGGCAAAUAAAUGAAACACCCCUACCCAAUAAAAAAAAAAGUGCUGUAGACAUGUGUUUGUAGGGAUGCUGUCUACUGCUAAUGAACACCUUAUAACAGCAUUUGGCUUCCUGGCUGAACACCGGUGAAGAAAGCAGGAAGCCAUCUGGACAGACUUUUCUUGAUGAUGUAUCUAUAGGAAGGCUUUCUGGUGAACUUAAAAAAGAUUAUUUUUUAUUAAAAAUCAAAAUACUUCAUAACUGUA